UACGUAGGUGGCAAGCGUUGUCCGGAAUUACUGGGCGUAAAGCGUGCGCAGGCGGUUCGUUAAGUCAGAUGUGAAAGCCCCGGGCUCAACCUGGGAACUGCAUUUGAAACUGGCGGGCUUGAGUAUGGCAGAGGGGGGUGGAAUUCCGCGUGUAGCAGUGAAAUGCGUAGAGAUGCGGAGGAACACCGAUGGCGAAGGCAGCCCCCUGGGCCAAUACUGACGCUCAGGCACGAAAGCGUGGGGAGCAAACAGG
This 253-nucleotide ribosomal RNA is filed under the name uncultured bacterium. RNAcentral's name for it is "partial 16S ribosomal RNA". It matches the Rfam family "Bacterial small subunit ribosomal RNA", at positions 524 to 776 of the family's 1533-position model. The record is from RNAcentral.